GCGGCGGACGGGUGAGUAACGCGUGGGUAACCUACCCCAAAGUCCGGGAUAACAGCGGGAAACCGCUGCUAAUACCGGAUGCCUUUACCUUGGGGCAUCUUGAGGUAAAGAAAGGUAACGCUUUGGGGUGGGCCCGCGUCCCAUUAGCUAGUUGGUGAGGUAACGGCUCACCAAGGCGACGAUGGGUAGCCGGCCUGAGAGGGUGGACGGCCACACUGGGACUGAGACACGGCCCAGACUCCUACGGGAGGCAGCAGUAGGGAAUAUUGCGCAAUGGACGGAAGUCUGACGCAGCGACGCCGCGUGAGCGAUGAAGGUCUUCGGAUCGUAAAGCUCUGUCCUUGGGGAAGAAGGUCUUCGGACUUGACGGUACCCAAGAAGAAAGCCCCGGCUAACUACGUGCCAGCAGCCGCGGUAAUACGUAGGGGGCGAGCGUUGUCCGGAAUUACUGGGCGUAAAGGGUGCGUAGGCGGCCCUUUAAGUCGGAUGUGAAAGCCCGCG
This 501-nucleotide ribosomal RNA is filed under the name uncultured bacterium. RNAcentral describes it as "bacterial SSU rRNA". It matches the Rfam family "Bacterial small subunit ribosomal RNA", at positions 95 to 606 of the family's 1533-position model. The record is from RNAcentral.